RNAcentral lists this transfer RNA (63 nucleotides) under Lucanus fortunei. RNAcentral's name for it is "tRNA-Arg". Lineage: Eukaryota; Metazoa; Arthropoda; Insecta; Coleoptera; Lucanidae. The record is from RNAcentral.
AAAUAAGAAACAAACUAUUGUAUUUAGUUUCGACCUAAAAUUUUGAUGAAACAUCCUUAUUUU